This 74-nucleotide transfer RNA is filed under the name Marmota monax (woodchuck). RNAcentral's name for it is "tRNA.Ala". The stretch from base 8 to 68 matches the Rfam family "tRNA", at positions 6 to 65 of the family's 71-position model. From Rfam's summary of the family: Transfer RNA (tRNA) molecules are approximately 80 nucleotides in length. Their secondary structure includes four short double-helical elements and three loops (D, anti-codon, and T loops). Further hydrogen bonds mediate the characteristic L-shaped molecular structure. tRNAs have two regions of fundamental functional importance: the anti-codon, which is responsible for specific mRNA codon recognition, and the 3' end, to which the tRNAs corresponding amino acid is attached (by aminoacyl-tRNA synthetases). tRNAs cope with the degeneracy of the genetic code in two manners: having more than one tRNA (with a specific anti-codon) for a particular amino acid; and 'wobble' base-pairing, i.e. permitting non-standard base-pairing at the 3rd anti-codon position. The record is from RNAcentral. Lineage: Eukaryota; Metazoa; Chordata; Mammalia; Rodentia; Sciuridae.
GAGGAUAUAUAACUCAGUGGUAGAACACUUGCCUAGCAAGUAUGAGGUCCUGGGUUCAAUCCCCAGUACUCACA